This 1358-nucleotide ribosomal RNA is filed under the name uncultured bacterium. RNAcentral's name for it is "bacterial SSU rRNA". It matches the Rfam family "Bacterial small subunit ribosomal RNA", at positions 28 to 1381 of the family's 1533-position model. The record is from RNAcentral.
GAUGAACGCUAGCUACAGGCUUAACACAUGCAAGUCGAGGGGCAGCAUGGUCUUAGCUUGCUAAGGCCGAUGGCGACCGGCGCACGGGUGAGUAACACGUAUCCAACCUGCCGUCUACUCUUGGACAGCCUUCUGAAAGGAAGAUUAAUACAAGAUGGCAUCAUGAGUCCACAUGUUCACAUGAUUAAAGGUAUUCCGGUAGACGAUGGGGAUGCGUUCCAUUAGAUAGUAGGCGGGGUAACGGCCCACCUAGUCUUCGAUGGAUAGGGGUUCUGAGAGGAAGGUCCCCCACAUUGGAACUGAGACACGGUCCAAACUCCUACGGGAGGCAGCAGUGAGGAAUAUUGGUCAAUGGGCGAGAGCCUGAACCAGCCAAGUAGCGUGAAGGAUGACUGCCCUAUGGGUUGUAAACUUCUUUUAUAAAGGAAUAAAGUCGGGUAUGCAUACCCGUUUGCAUGUACUUUAUGAAUAAGGAUCGGCUAACUCCGUGCCAGCAGCCGCGGUAAUACGGAGGAUCCGAGCGUUAUCCGGAUUUAUUGGGUUUAAAGGGAGCGUAGAUGGAUGUUUAAGUCAGUUGUGAAAGUUUGCGGCUCAACCGUAAAAUUGCAGUUGAUACUGGAUAUCUUGAGUGCAGUUGAGGCAGGCGGAAUUCGUGGUGUAGCGGUGAAAUGCUUAGAUAUCACGAAGAACUCCGAUUGCGAAGGCAGCCUGCUAAGCUGCAACUGACAUUGAGGCUCGAAAGUGUGGGUAUCAAACAGGAUUAGAUACCCUGGUAGUCCACACGGUAAACGAUGAAUACUCGCUGUUUGCGAUAUACAGCAAGCGGCCAAGCGAAAGCGUUAAGUAUUCCACCUGGGGAGUACGCCGGCAACGGUGAAACUCAAAGGAAUUGACGGGGGCCCGCACAAGCGGAGGAACAUGUGGUUUAAUUCGAUGAUACGCGAGGAACCUUACCCGGGCUUAAAUUGCAGAUGAAUUACGGUGAAAGCCGUAAGCCGCAAGGCAUCUGUGAAGGUGCUGCAUGGUUGUCGUCAGCUCGUGCCGUGAGGUGUCGGCUUAAGUGCCAUAACGAGCGCAACCCUUGUUGUCAGUUACUAACAGGUUCCGCUGAGGACUCUGACAAGACUGCCAUCGUAAGAUGUGAGGAAGGUGGGGAUGACGUCAAAUCAGCACGGCCCUUACGUCCGGGGCUACACACGUGUUACAAUGGGGGGUACAGAGGGCCGCUACCACGCGAGUGGAUGCCAAUCCCCAAAACCUCUCUCAGUUCGGACUGGAGUCUGCAACCCGACUCCACGAAGCUGGAUUCGCUAGUAAUCGCGCAUCAGCCACGGCGCGGUGAAUACGUUCCCGGGCCU